GACGAACGCUGGCGGCGUGCUUAACACAUGCAAGUCGAACGGAAAGGCCCUGCUUUUGUGGGGUGCUCGAGUGGCGAACGGGUGAGUAACACGUGAGUAACCUGCCCUUGACUUUGGGAUAACUUCAGGAAACUGGGGCUAAUACCGGAUAGGAGCUCCUGCUGCAUGGUGGGGGUUGGAAAGUUUCGGCGGUUGGGGAUGGACUCGCGGCUUAUCAGCUUGUUGGUGGGGUAGUGGCUUACCAAGGCUUUGACGGGUAGCCGGCCUGAGAGGGUGACCGGCCACAUUGGGACUGAGAUACGGCCCAGACUCCUAAGGGAGGAAGCAGUGGGGAAUAUUGCACAAUGGGCGGAAGCCUGAUGCAGCAACGCCGCGUGCUGGAUGACGGCCUUCGGGUUGUAAACCGCUUUCGCCUGUGACGAAGCGUGAGUGACGGUAAUGGGUAAAGAAGCACCGGCUAACUACGUG
RNAcentral lists this ribosomal RNA (468 nucleotides) under uncultured bacterium. RNAcentral's name for it is "partial 16S ribosomal RNA". It matches the Rfam family "Bacterial small subunit ribosomal RNA", at positions 28 to 507 of the family's 1533-position model. The record is from RNAcentral.